UUUCUUCCCUCCCGAGCGCAGGAAAUGGCUCCUGGUAAAUGCGUCCACUCUGCAGUGUUCCUUUCUUCUAAAAUGGGGCUUGACAGAUUGGACUUUUCAGCUCCCCCACUGUUUCACCACCUCUGCUCUCCACCUCAGAAAUACCCUCCAGGAAGCAGGAGUUAAUCUCGACAUACCUUUUCCUGAGAUUCUUCAGUGUCCCUUUGGAAAGGCACAUCCUUUUCCUUUGUUCAUGUUCUUCACAUCCCAUCACUGGACUUUCAACUCUCCAAGUUCUCCCCAUUCCUUUUAUGUUGAUGAGUCCCAAGUGGGACCAAUAUAGCACUCCAGUAUCUAAAGCUAGAUCUGACUUGUAUUCUGGGAAGAAUAAUGAAAUGAAUUUUGGCUCAAGAGAAAAGGACUUGCUUUGUUUUAUCCAGUGCUGCACACUCAGUGCCCAGCAAAGAGCUUUGGAAGUAAACGGAGAUAAGAUUUGCUCCCUUUCUACCUCACCAGGAUCUGUGAAGAUUAGAUAAUGGUUGUAAAGUCCUUGUACAAAGGUUUUGAAUUUGUGUGGAAUUCCCGUCUUAACUUCGACCUGGAGAACAGUGAAUUUAGGAAGCCUGUUGAUCUGAAUGUCUUGAUCACUGCAUUCUGGCUCCCUGGCUCCUGUCUUUUCUUUUUUUUCUAAGUUGAGGGUAGGCUUAACUUCCAGAAGUCAAAAGUUGAAAAAGAUGGCAACAAGGUGAUUGUGCUUGGAGUGGAUAUGGAGACAGGAUGCUGUGUGUUGGCCUUCUGACAACAUACCUGGUCAUAUUUAUAAACUGAGACAAGUACACAUGAAUUGUUGUGUAUAGAGAAGGUUACCCAACAUCUUGGAGUCAACGACUGGAACAUGGGAGAGUGGAAGAGAAAGGGAAAAACAGAGAGAAACAU
Molecule: long non-coding RNA, 915 nt
Organism: Myotis brandtii (Brandt's bat)
Lineage: Eukaryota; Metazoa; Chordata; Mammalia; Chiroptera; Vespertilionidae
Exons: 8
Source: RefSeq, a predicted model, not a curated record